UACAGAGGGUGCAAGCGUUGUUCGGAAUUAUUGGGCGUAAAGGGAGUGUAGGCGGUUGCCUAAGUCUUCUGUGAAAGCUGCGGGCUUAGCCUGCAAAGUGCAGAGGAAACUGGGCGACUUGAGUGUCGGAGAGGAUAGGGGAAUACCCAGUGUAGAGGUGAAAUUCGUAGAGAUUGGGUGGAACACCAGUGGCGAAGGCGCCUGUCUGGCUGACAACUGACGCUGAGACUCGAAAGCAUGGGGAGCAAACAGG
Molecule: ribosomal RNA, 253 nt
Filed under: uncultured bacterium
Lineage: Bacteria
Description: partial 16S ribosomal RNA
Rfam family: Bacterial small subunit ribosomal RNA
Source: RNAcentral